AUCCUGUAACUAUUUGGUAUGUUGGGUGGCAUGAAUACACUAAAGCAUAUUUGGUUAUUUUCAAUAUUUUGGGUAAGCCGACAACAGUAUAGAACACCAUACAACUUAGAACUGAAUGAAAAACAAAUCAAGAACAAUUUAGUUUUAAAAUUUUGUUCCUUGAUGCUAAAGGGUGGGGGAAAAAAUUAUAUACUAAUGAGAAAUUGAAUCCACUAUAAAGUGGGACGCUAAUCCCAAGCACUGGCUACACCCGAACCAUAUCCUCCGCCGUAGCUGCCAGGAACCCCAUAUCCACCACCACCACCACCACCACCACCACC
RNAcentral lists this unclassified non-coding RNA (320 nucleotides) under Hevea brasiliensis (rubber tree). The record is from RNAcentral. Lineage: Eukaryota; Viridiplantae; Streptophyta; Magnoliopsida; Malpighiales; Euphorbiaceae.